This is a long non-coding RNA of Anolis carolinensis (green anole), 1712 nucleotides long. NCBI's taxonomy places the organism in Eukaryota, Metazoa, Chordata, Lepidosauria, Squamata, Anolidae. The record is from Ensembl.
CUCGAAUUAGAGCCUCAAUGCUUCUUUUCUCACCAGUAAUCCUCUUGCAUGAAACUUAAAUUUCUUGCAUGAUUUUUUUUUUAAAAAAAAAACAUUUUAUUCUUCUGGAAUUGCACAAUUUUGAUAUAUUACUACUUCACUGUAUCUCCCCCUUUUAGAGCUAGAUUUCAAAUUUCUGAAAUUGCAUCUCCCCCCCCCUUUUUUUUUUUUUAAAAGAAGAAUAUGUGAUAGCUCAGAUAGUGGAUGAUUAUAGCAGAAACAAACAAAAGUGCAUCACAUAUGAUGGGGUGAAUGUAUUUUUAGUUUUCCUUAUAAACAGAAUGGAAUGAAACAUUAUAAGAAGACAAUUCCCCCCACUUCCUUCCCCUUCAUGAGAUGAGGUCCCAAAUGAUAGUGAAUGUUACUAUGGCCAUUUGAAAAUAAAACUGUAUUUUUUAGAAUCAUGAAUUCUAACUAUGGCUAAUUUCUAAUAAUUCAAAAUGUAAUUAUUUUUCUGUGUCAUGUCCCUAAUGAAUCAAAACAAUGGGGCAUUAUCUUAUGAAUCAUCCCAAUAAUCAUUAUCUUGUUUCUAAGUCAUUUGCUGUGGCCAAUUUGGCAACUGUAUAUCUUCCUUGUCUUAAGUAUGACCACUCCUCUCUCAUACACAUGAGGCUGCUUCUAGGACAGCUCAAUAAAACGUUAGUCAGUUUUGCAACUGUUUCACAUUGUCAAUUCAUAUUUACUUGAUCAUCCAUUACAUCUCUUAGACCUUCCCUCAGGUACAUUGCCUAGUGACUAUUCCUCCAUCCUCCAUUUCAUCGUUUGAUUAUUCUUACCAAUUUAAGUUUGCCUUUAGUGAACUUUUGAUUGAUUUUUUCCACAGGCAUUUACUUUCAUUUUCCCAAGACAGCCCUUAAUCCUGUCAUUCCACAGCCUAGUUUUUACAGAGUUUAUUUUGUUAUUUAAAAUUUCUAUGCCUGAUCCUUCCUUAGUACAAGGUGCCUUGAAAUGUAAUAAUAUCCAAUAAAAUAAUGGUGAUUAAGAAAGACAAAGAGGUGUAAAAAUAAUCCUAAUAGAAACCAGAAGGAUUGAUAUCAAUUUUUCAUCCUGUGAUAAUAGCAUCCUUUCUUCACUCCUAUUUUCUUUAGAAUUUUAUCACCAUUUUGUCCUAAUCAUCUAUAAUUUUCAAUAUUAUUUCAGUAUUAUAAAUGGCUUUCAGUACAACCCUUUUUAUUGUGUCAUACCAUUCAUGUUUUACAUUUUAAUUAUCUCACUAGAGACUUAUUUUUGACUUUCCCCUACUUAUUCAAAAUAGUACUGGGAUGUCAGAGGUCUAAUAUGCUGGCCCCAAUGAAUAUAUCCAUUCACACAUACUCCAACUUUCAUACAAGAUGUUUCAGUAUAACAUUCACUCCUUGUCCUGUGAGAUAUCUAAGGAUGAGAAACAGUGAGUAGUCGAAAGUCAUAUACUAAGCUUCAUAGCUGAGUUCAGAACUGAACUUUGUUUUCUUCACUUUUAAUCUAUUGAUAAACUCUAAGUGACUAUUUGCAUGUAGAUUAGCCGCAUGUGUAUGCCCACUAAUUAUAGUUUGUAUUAUCCAUUCUAGUAUAACUACUCAAAUGUUUGAUGUGUGAGAAGUGUUGGAUUCUGGAUUCCUUGACUUCCAAUAAAAGAUUGGCAAUGCCAGUGGUGAUUCUGGUUACAUAAUGGUAUGAUUCUUCUAUGCACCUUU